RNAcentral lists this transfer RNA (61 nucleotides) under Heterocephalus glaber (naked mole-rat). It matches the Rfam family "tRNA", at positions 6 to 65 of the family's 71-position model. Rfam says of the family: Transfer RNA (tRNA) molecules are approximately 80 nucleotides in length. The record is from Rfam by way of RNAcentral. Lineage: Eukaryota; Metazoa; Chordata; Mammalia; Rodentia; Bathyergidae.
UGUAGCUUAGUGGUACAGCACUUGCCUAGUAUGCACAAGGCCCUGGGUUCUAUCCCCAGCA